AGAUUGAACACUGGCGGCAGGCCUAACACAUGCAAGUCGAGCGGCAGCACGGGUACUUGUACCUGGUGGCGAGCGGCGGACGGGUGAGUAAUGCCUAGGAAUCUGCCUGAUAGUGGGGGAUAACGUUCGGAAACGGACGCUAAUACCGCAUACGUCCUACGGGAGAAAGUGGGGGAUCUUCGGACCUCACGCUAUCAGAUGAGCCUAGGUCGGAUUAGCUAGUUGGUAGGUAAAGGCCUACCAAGGCUACCGAUCCGUAACUGGUCUGAGAGGAUGAUCAGUCACACUGGAACUGAGACACGGUCCAGACUCCUACGGGAGCAGCAGG
This 328-nucleotide ribosomal RNA is filed under the name uncultured soil bacterium. RNAcentral describes it as "bacterial SSU rRNA". It matches the Rfam family "Bacterial small subunit ribosomal RNA", at positions 26 to 355 of the family's 1533-position model. The record is from RNAcentral.